GUGCUCGCUUCGGUAGCACAUAUACUAAAAAUUGGAACGAUACAGAGAUUAGCAUGGCCCCUGCGCAAGGAUGACACGAAAAAAAAAAAAAAGAAAAGAAAUCUG
Molecule: small nuclear RNA, 105 nt
Filed under: Prolemur simus (greater bamboo lemur)
Lineage: Eukaryota; Metazoa; Chordata; Mammalia; Primates; Lemuridae
Source: RNAcentral